This 477-nucleotide ribosomal RNA is filed under the name uncultured bacterium. Its description in RNAcentral is "bacterial SSU rRNA". It matches the Rfam family "Bacterial small subunit ribosomal RNA", at positions 30 to 507 of the family's 1533-position model. The record is from RNAcentral.
UUGAACGCUGGCGGCAUGCCUUACACAUGCAAGUCGAACGGUAGAGUAGCAAUACUUGAGAGUGGCGAACGGGUGAGUAAUAUAUCGGAACGUGCCCAGUCGUGGGGGAUAACGUAGAGAAAUUUACGCUAAUACCGCAUACGAUCUAAGGAUGAAAGCGGGGGAUUCGCAAGAACCUCGCGCGAUUGGAGCGGCUGAUAUCAGAUUAGGUAGUUGGUGAGGUAAAGGCUCACCAAGCCGACGAUCUGUAGCUGGUCUGAGAGGACGACCAGCCACACUGGGACUGAGACACGGCCCAGACUCCUACGGGAGGCAGCAGUGGGAAUUUUGGACAAUGGGCGCAAGCCUGAUCCAGCAAUGCCGCGUGCAGGAUGAAGGCCUUCGGGUUGUAAACUGCUUUGUACGGAACGAAACGGUGAGCUCUAAUACAGUUUGCUAAUGACGGUACCGUAAGAAUAAGCACCGGCUAACUACGUG